GAUGAACGCUGGCGGCGUGCCUAAUACAUGCAAGUCGAGCGAACGGACGAGAAGCUUGCUUUUCUGAUGUUAGCGGCGGACGGGUGAGUAACACGUGGAUAACCUACCUAUAAGACUGGGAUAACUUCGGGAAACCGGAGCUAAUACCGGAUAAUAUUUUGAACCGCAUGGUUCAAAAGUGAAAGACGGUCUUGCUGUCACUUAUAGAUGGAUCCGCGCUGCAUUAGCUAGUUGGUAAGGUAACGGCUUACCAAGGCAACGAUGCAUAGCCGACCUGAGAGGGUGAGCGGCCACACUGGAACUGAGACACGGUCCAGACUCCUACGGGAGGCAGCAGUAGGGAAUCUUCCGCAAUGGGCGAAAGCCUGACGGAGCAACGCCGCGUGAGUGAUGAAGGUCUUCGGAUCGUAAAACUCUGUUAUUAGGGAAGAACAUAUGUGUAAGUAACUGUGCACAUCUUGACGGUACCUAAUCAGAAAGCCACGGCUAACUACGUG
Molecule: ribosomal RNA, 497 nt
Filed under: uncultured bacterium
Lineage: Bacteria
Description: partial 16S ribosomal RNA
Rfam family: Bacterial small subunit ribosomal RNA
Source: RNAcentral